GGGGCAACAAACAACGGAUCAUCCACCGUCACGGGAUGCAGGAAAAGGAAGAGGAAGAGGAAGAGGGGCGCCCGUAUCGCAUAAACAAGUGAAAAAUAUCAUUCGUCGGGCGCUGCAAGUGGAGAGGAGGAAAAUGGGGUAUACACUACCCCCACCACCGCCGCCUCUCACACCGUAUUCACCGUACGCGCCGCCGCCGCCCACACCGUAUGCACCGUACGCACCGCCGCCGCCCACACCGUAUGCACCGUACCCAUAUCCAUACAGAUAUUAAAAAUUGUCUUUAAAAAUAUGCCUUCUCCAUUCCAUUCUAUAUAAUAAAUAUCAUA
Molecule: long non-coding RNA, 329 nt
Organism: Ooceraea biroi (clonal raider ant)
Lineage: Eukaryota; Metazoa; Arthropoda; Insecta; Hymenoptera; Formicidae
Source: RefSeq, a predicted model, not a curated record